Molecule: ribosomal RNA, 1372 nt
Filed under: uncultured bacterium
Lineage: Bacteria
Description: bacterial SSU rRNA
Rfam family: Bacterial small subunit ribosomal RNA
Source: RNAcentral
GAUGAACGCUGGCGGCGUGCCUAAUACAUGCAAGUCGAGCGAACGGACGAGAAGCUUGCUUUUCUGAUGUUAGCGGCGGACGGGUGAGUAACACGUGGAUAACCUACCUAUAAGACUGGGAUAACUUCGGGAAACCGGAGCUAAUACCGGAUAAUAUUUUGAACCGCAUGGUUCAAAAGUGAAAGACGGUCUUGCUGUCACUUAUAGAUGGAUCCGCGCUGCAUUAGCUAGUUGGUAAGGUAACGGCUUACCAAGGCAACGAUGCAUAGCCGACCUGAGAGGGUGAUCGGCCACACUGGAACUGAGACACGGUCCAGACUCCUACGGGAGGCAGCAGUAGGGAAUCUUCCGCAAUGGGCGAAAGCCUGACGGAGCAACGCCGCGUGAGUGAUGAAGGUCUUCGGAUCGUAAAACUCUGUCAUUAGGGAAGAACAUAUGUGUAAGUAACUGUGCACAUCUUGACGGUACCUAAUCAGAAAGCCACGGCUAACUACGUGCCAGCAGCCGCGGUAAUACGUAGGUGGCAAGCGUUAUCCGGAAUUAUUGGGCGUAAAGCGCGCGUAGGCGGUUUUUUAAGUCUGAUGUGAAAGCCCACGGCUCAACCGUGGAGGGUCAUUGGAAACUGGAAAACUUGAGUGCAGAAGAGGAAAGUGGAAUUCCAUGUGUAGCGGUGAAAUGCGCAGAGAUAUGGAGGAACACCAGUGGCGAAGGCGACUUUCUGGUCUGUAACUGACGCUGAUGUGCGAAAGCGUGGGGAUCAAACAGGAUUAGAUACCCUGGUAGUCCACGCCGUAAACGAUGAGUGCUAAGUGUUAGGGGGUUUCCGCCCCUUAGUGCUGCAGCUAACGCAUUAAGCACUCCGCCUGGGGAGUACGACCGCAAGGUUGAAACUCAAAGGAAUUGACGGGGACCCGCACAAGCGGUGGAGCAUGUGGUUUAAUUCGAAGCAACGCGAAGAACCUUACCAAAUCUUGACAUCCUUUGACAACUCUAGAGAUAGAGCCUCCCCCUUCGGGGGACAAAGUGACAGGUGGUGCAUGGUUGUCGUCAGCUCGUGUCGUGAGAUGUUGGGUUAAGUCCCGCAACGAGCGCAACCCUUAAGCUUAGUUGCCAUCAUUAAGUUGGGCACUCUAAGUUGACUGCCGGUGACAAACCGGAGGAAGGUGGGGAUGACGUCAAAUCAUCAUGCCCCUUAUGAUUUGGGCUACACACGUGCUACAAUGGACAAUACAAAGGGCAGCGAAACCGCGAGGUCAGGCAAAUCCCAUAAAGUUGUUCUCAGUUCGGAUUGUAGUCUGCAACUCGACUACAUGAAGCUGGAAUCGCUAGUAAUCGUAGAUCAGCAUGCUACGGUGAAUACGUUCCCGGGUCU